GCAGCUCUGUGCUAGCCACACUCUUCCAUUCUCCAGAGGCUGGAGCCAGGGUCAAGGGCAGAAACAGCUUACAAAUCUCAGUUAUAUCCAGUGUCCAAUUAAUUAGUGUUGAGGGUGAAUUUAGUUUUCAAUAAUCUUUUUGUUUUCUACAGCCGAAGUUCUCUUUAUUAAAGACCCCAGGAGCUCAUGUUUGUUUCUCAUCUUUACCAAGCUUCCAGGAGCUUUCAUUUUCCUCACUUCCCACAUAGAAGCUCAACAGCUACCCCAUGAGCUGUUUUCCCUGGAGACUCCUGCCCAUCCCCAUGAAUCAAUCUGUGAUCUAAGGCCACGCUUUUGGCGGUGCUUUACGGGCUCUGGAGUACUGGCUUCUGGCUGCUCGGUUCUCAGCGUCAAAUGAAGACAAGGGCUGCGUCUGGCACCUUGCUAGAAACUGAGUCAUUGUUAUUGGGUUCAGUCAAAAUGUAUUUGAUUACAGGGGAUGGUGGAUUACUGUGAUUUAUUUUGUUCUCCAAACUGCAGAAGAUCUCCUGGGCUUUGGUAAAAUUCUCUAGGAUAGCUGUGAGUAGUCGAGCUAUUGAAAACUUUUAUACACACAUAUACACAUACAGAUUUACUUAUACACAUGUAUAUGUACCUUAAUAUAUGAAAGUAUGUAAAUAAUUAAAUGCCAGUUUUGAAAUGUCAACACUGCAAUGAAGAGUAGUUUGCUUUUUCCUUGUCAAUGAGGCUGGAAAAGCCCUAGAAUUUUCUUCAUUCCUGUUAUGCUUGCUACCUGCAA
Molecule: long non-coding RNA, 778 nt
Filed under: Homo sapiens (human)
Lineage: Eukaryota; Metazoa; Chordata; Mammalia; Primates; Hominidae
Description: HSALNT0014424
Source: RNAcentral